UACCACUUGUGACAGGAACGACCUGUAGGGGGUGUAUAGUUCCAUUAUGGCCCUUUUAAAUGGAGACACCAGGAAUGGGGGGCUAAAGAGUGUUUACAUAGGAGACUGUAAUGUUCGGCCGCAUUUAUAGCGUACUGCAGUGGGUCCGCGACUCUUGCAUAAAGAUCAUUUGCUAAGGAGACUACACUAUCGAGUCAGACUUUACCGCUGGGCAGGGAUGACGUAGUGCACAGGUAAAGAUGGUUUGUAGAGGAGAAGGUACUCUUAAGCUGGUUUUGCGUUGGACAGCGGCAGUGACGUAUUGCGCAGAUGAGCGGGGUUGUUAUAUUACCGGUCCUGCGCAGUUGCAUUUGUUUGGCGUGGUGAACGAUAGCGGCAUAAGUCGGCAGUGCGGCGCGAUUCUGCGGUACUGAGACCUGUCUGAGCGCCUUAGGAUCUAACUCAGUGUGGUGCUGUAAACGGUGUGUGACUAUGCUGGUGUGAGUAUACAUUUGGUGUCUAUUUAGUUUUACUAAAGUUGUGUGUGUGUAGUUGACUGAUAUGCUGGUGUUACAUCCUACAGGAUGAGAGCUGUAGAGAAGUUGGCUACAGGUGUAUGUAAAAGGUGUUGAGAGUUGAGGAGCCCAGUGUUGGCCAACUGUAAGUUUUAGAAUCUCUCUCUGUAGAGGAGAGUGGAUAAUUAACUACUGAAAGCAGACCAGUCCCAGUGAGAACCUCUGAAGGUUCAUCUUAUAGUGGUUGAAGGUAAUAGGAUGUUUGUGUGUGUGUGAGUAUGCUGGUGUGAGGUGUGUCUGCCUAUGUGAAGAAAAAAAAACAAGGGAGAUGUAUAAAUAAAUUAACGCUGUUUUUCAUCCCCUUGCUGUAGGCUACCCUGUUGGCACCAGUCGCUGUUUUGUUUUGGUUCUUGGUUUUGUUUAUUGUUUUUUUUUGUUUAAUAGAAUUCAAGCAUUAAUUUUUUUUUUGUAUUAUUACCAUUAUAUUUUUUUUAUAUACACGGUUGAUUCUACUAUAUUGUCCUAUACGUCCAUGUUUAUUGGUGGUAAUAAUUGGUGCUGGUGACCUGUAUACUGUCUGUUUCUUGAUCUUAAAGGGGCAGUGUUGCAUGAUAUUCAGUAAAGAGGGCAAAUUGUUUUAAUUAGGUUAAAUAAUUAAAAUACUCAUCUUGUUUUUUAAUUUUGUUGUUUUUUUUGUUUUGUUUUUUUCUUUUAGGUGCUGUGGUGGGGCAUCCUCCAGUGCGGAGCUAUUUUGUAUUUGUCGUGGUUGUGUGUGGGUAACUAAAUUCACGAGUGUUCUCUUUUUGUUUGCAAGUAGUGCAGUGAGUUAUUUCUUUUUUUAAGUAGAAGAACUCCCCCUGGAGUGAUACGACCACCACAGUGACCUUUAUUACAUGUCCAUAUUUAUGUUCAUAAAUAUUUUUUUUUAUUGUUUAUAAUAAAGAUUGUUAUUGAUUGCCCUCUA
This is a long non-coding RNA of Astyanax mexicanus (Mexican tetra), 1458 nucleotides long. RefSeq lists it as uncharacterized. Lineage: Eukaryota; Metazoa; Chordata; Actinopteri; Characiformes; Acestrorhamphidae. The transcript is spliced from 3 exons. The record is from RefSeq and is a predicted model, not a curated record.